This 492-nucleotide ribosomal RNA is filed under the name uncultured bacterium. RNAcentral's name for it is "partial 16S ribosomal RNA". It matches the Rfam family "Bacterial small subunit ribosomal RNA", at positions 30 to 507 of the family's 1533-position model. The record is from RNAcentral.
AUUGAACGCUGUCGGCAUGCUUUACACAUGCAAGUCGAACGGUAACAGGCCUUCGGGUGCUGACGAGUGGCGAACGGGUGAGUAAUGCAUCGGAACGUACCCAGAGGUGGGGGAUAACGCAGCGAAAGCUGUGCUAAUACUGCAUGUGAUCUGAGGAUGAAAGCGGGGGACCGAGCAGCAAUGUUUGGCCUCGCGCCUUUGGAGCGGCCGAUGUCGGAUUAGCUAGUUGGUGGGGUAAAGGCCUACCAAGGCGACGAUCCGUAGCUGGUCUGAGAGGACGACCAGCCACACUGGGACUGAGACACGGCCCAGACUCCUACGGGAGGCAGCAGUGGGGAAUUUUGGACAAUGGGCGCAAGCCUGAUCCAGCAAUGCCGCGUGCGGGAAGAAGGCCUUCGGGUUGUAAACCGCUUUUGGCAGGAACGAAACGGUGUCCGCUAAUACCGGGCGCUAAUGACGGUACCUGCAGAAUAAGCACCGGCUAACUACGUG